UCCAACUGCUCUUCCUCCGUCCAGCCCUAUACCACUAUAAUAUGCAAAAUAGCAAAUUAUUUGAAGAAAUAUAAAUCUCAUAUUUGAAUUAAACUACUUAAUGCCUUAAAAAAGUUUCAUCUCAAGGAUAUCAUUAAGGAGAGAUGCAGAAAAGUGGGGAUGAAGGCAAUUUGAACAUUGCAAGGCCUUUAAUUCAAUGAGCUCAGUUCCUCCUGAUAUUUGGCUGUGGCUUCUACCUAACCAUUUGCACAUCUCUUCAUGAAACAGCAACCAUAAUACAUGAUAUAAAAUACGACCAUGGCAAAGCGGAGCCAUUCGUAAUGGCAAAGAACACCUGCAUUCAAUUCUUUCUCAUCUCAUAUAUUUAUAUAUAUAUUAUAUAAUCCACACUUAACUACACAUAUUUUAAGUCAUUUUACAAGCUCUUUGACUUCAGCAUUAAAGGAGUAUUCUAAUUGACAGUGAUCAAAAACACCUAAGAUCUCCUUUACAUAUCAAGCUUUCCAUGCACAAAGCUUAUAAAGUAAAUGCAUUUAAUCUUUAAAAAAUAAUAAUUCCUGCUCUUGCAAGAAGUCCAAGUGUGUUGAUAAUGAAGAAAUGAGGGGCUUACAUAGUUCAAACAGAUACAUGUGCAAAGUAAAUCCUGCUGAGAGUAUCUAGAAAAAUGCAAAUGGUGACGGAAGAUGAUUUCCUUUUCACUCCCUUAGACCCAUCUUUUAAUAAGUUGGUCUUUCUUCUUGCCAACCACAAGGGAGAAUACCAUGCGAAGACUGAGAGGUAUGCUGUCACAAGCCAAAGACCUUCAAAGAUUUCCAGCAAACCACCAGAAUCUCAGAAAAGAGUAUGGAACACACAUUUCCUGGAGAUCCUCAGAUAAAAACAAUUCUGAAGACACCUUGCUAUCAGACUUUUGGCCUGCAGAACUGUAAGAAAAUAAAUGUCUGCUGUUCUGCUGUU
Long non-coding RNA from Symphalangus syndactylus (siamang), 957 nucleotides. RefSeq lists it as uncharacterized. The record is from RefSeq and is a predicted model, not a curated record. Lineage: Eukaryota; Metazoa; Chordata; Mammalia; Primates; Hylobatidae.